GACGAACGCUGGCGGCGUGCUUAACACAUGCAAGUCGAACGGUGAAGCGCCUUCCUUUUUGGUGGGUGUGGAUGAGUGGCGAACGGGUGAGUAACACGUGAGUAACCUGCCCCCUUCUUCUGGAUAACCGCAUGAAAGUGUGGCUAAUACGGGAUACUCUGGGUCUGUCGCAUGAUGGGUCUGGGAAAGAUAUUGUUUCGGAGGGGGAUGGGCUCGCGGCCUAUCAGCUUGUUGGUGGGGUGAUGGCCUACCAAGGCGGUGACGGGUAGCCGGCCUGAGAGGGUGGGCGGUAACACUGGGACUGAGACGCGGCGCAGACUCCGAGGGGAGGCAGCAGUGGGUAAUAUUGCACAAGGGGCGCAAGGCUGAUGCAGCGACGCGGCGGGAGGGAUGGAGUCCUUCGGGUUGUGAACCUCUGUCGCCAGUGAAGCAGGCCUGCCUCGUAUGUGGGUGGGUUGACGGUAGCUGGAUAAGAAGCGCCGGCUAACUACGUG
RNAcentral lists this ribosomal RNA (494 nucleotides) under uncultured bacterium. RNAcentral's name for it is "partial 16S ribosomal RNA". It matches the Rfam family "Bacterial small subunit ribosomal RNA", at positions 28 to 507 of the family's 1533-position model. The record is from RNAcentral.